This 460-nucleotide ribosomal RNA is filed under the name uncultured bacterium. RNAcentral describes it as "partial 16S ribosomal RNA". It matches the Rfam family "Bacterial small subunit ribosomal RNA", at positions 338 to 795 of the family's 1533-position model. The record is from RNAcentral.
CCUACGGGAGGCAGCAGUGAGGAAUAUUGGUCAAUGGCCGGAAGGCUGAACCAGCCAUGCCGCGUGAAGGUCAGUGCCCUAUGGGCGUUAAACUUCUUUUGUGCGGGAGCAAUCAUGGUCACGUGUGGCCAGACGAGAGUACCGUACGAAUAAGCAUCGGCUAACACCGUGCCAGCAGCCGCGGUAAUACGGGGGAUGCAAGCGUUAUCCGGAUUUAUUGGGUGUAAAGGGUGCGUAGGCUGUGAGGUAAGUCAGCGGUGAAAUGCCCCCGCUCAACGGGGUGAAGUGCCAUUGAUACUGCCUGGCUGGAAUGCGGAUGCCGUGGGAGGAAUGUGUGGUGUAGCGGUGAAAUGCAUAGAUAUCACACAGAACACCGAUUGCGAAGGCAUCUCACGAAUCCGCGAUUGACGCUGAUGCACGAAAGCGUGGGUAUCAAACAGGAUUAGAUACCCCUGUAGUC